Pseudophryne corroboree (corroboree frog) is the source of this 1406-nucleotide RNA transcript. It is a transcript of the gene named CUGBP Elav-like family member 3, with no coding region annotated. Lineage: Eukaryota; Metazoa; Chordata; Amphibia; Anura; Myobatrachidae. The record is from RefSeq and is a predicted model, not a curated record. The transcript is spliced from 11 exons.
AUGAACCGACCAAUUCAAGUAAAACCGGCAGACAGUGAAAGUCGAGGAGAGGACCGGAAGCUCUUUGUCGGGAUGCUGGGGAAGCAGCAGACGGAUGAGGACGUGCGGAGAAUGUUUGAACCCUUUGGAAAUAUAGAUGAAUGUACCGUACUGCGGGGGCCGGAUGGGACCAGCAAAGGUUGUGCAUUUGUGAAGUUUCAGACACACACGGAAGCUCAGGCUGCCAUUAAUACUCUGCACGGGAGCCGGACCCUGCCGGGAGCCUCCUCCAGUCUGGUAGUAAAGUUUGCAGACACGGAGAAGGAGCGAGGACUCCGCAGGAUGCAGCAAGUAGCCAAUCAGCUUGGGAUGUUCAGUCCGAUCGCCCUCCAGUUUGGAGCGUAUAGCGCCUAUACACAGGCAGUAAGUGACCAGUUGAUGCAGCAGCAGGCCGCCCUGGUGGCCGCGCACAGUGCUUACCUCAACCCAAUGGCCACAAUGGCUGCCGUCCAGAUGCAACAAAUGGCGACAAUCAACCCCAAUGGAAUCAUAGCCACUCCGAUUACCCCCAUUACUUCCUCUUCAGGUACCAGUACACCCCCCACACUCGCUGCCACGCCAGUAUCUGCCAUCCCUGCCACACUGGGUGUGAAUGGCUACAGCGCAGUACCCACCCAGAGCAGCGUACAGCCCACCUCUGAGGCAAUCUACACCAACGGGUUACACCCAUACCCAGGUAAUACUGGUAUGUGUAGUAUCUCAGUGCCAUGUGCAGACAUACAGCACCUGUGCGCCAGUCACAGACCUCCUAACGGUGUCACUCACUGUCCUUCUCCCUCAGCACAGAGCCCCGUUACCCAGCUUGAUCCGCUACAACAAGCCUAUGCGGGCAUGCAGCAUUACACAGCUGCUUACCCUGCGGCAUAUGGACUGGUGAGCCCGGCGUUUACCCAGCAUCCACAGCUGUUACAGCAACAGCCUCCACAACAGCAGCAACAGAGAGAGGGUCCGGAGGGCUGCAACAUAUUUAUCUACCACCUGCCCCAGGAAUUCACAGAUUCCGAGAUUCUGCAGAUGUUCCUCCCGUUCGGAAAUGUCAUCUCCGCCAAAGUGUUUGUAGACAGAGCCACCAAUCAGAGCAAGUGUUUCGGCUUUGUAAGCUUUGACAAUCCCGGCAGUGCCCAGGCUGCUAUUCAGGCCAUGAAUGGUUUCCAGAUUGGUAUGAAGAGGCUGAAAGUACAACUAAAGCGACCAAAAGAUGCUAACCGACCGUACUGAGGGGUUCAGGGCCCAAUCAAAUCUUGAGACGACUCUGUCGCAUUGAUGUAUACCUAGCGUCCAUUGGCUGCCCUGGGACUCGUAGCACCACCCCUUGGGUGCACCUGAUAUGGGGGUUUUGAGGGGAUCCUGGGUCCAGCCCCUCCCCC